RNAcentral lists this ribosomal RNA (286 nucleotides) under Klebsiella oxytoca. RNAcentral describes it as "partial 23S ribosomal RNA". It matches the Rfam family "Bacterial large subunit ribosomal RNA", at positions 1241 to 1530 of the family's 2925-position model. The record is from RNAcentral. Lineage: Bacteria; Pseudomonadati; Pseudomonadota; Gammaproteobacteria; Enterobacterales; Enterobacteriaceae.
CUGUAAGCCGUUGAAGGUGGCCUGUGAGGGUUGCUGGAGGUAUCAGAAGUGCGAAUGCUGACAUAAGUAACGAUAAUGCGGGUGAAAAACCCGCACGCCGGAAGACCAAGGGUUCCUGUCCAACGUUAAUCGGGGCAGGGUGAGUCGACCCCUAAGGCGAGGCCGAAAGGCGUAGUCGAUGGGAAACAGGUUAAUAUUCCUGUACUUGGUGUUACUGCGAAGGGGGGACGGAGAAGGCUAUGUUGGCCGGGCGACGGUUGUCCCGGUUUAAGCAUGUAGGCGGAUG